This is a long non-coding RNA of Drosophila sulfurigaster albostrigata, 1024 nucleotides long. RefSeq lists it as uncharacterized. The transcript has 4 exons. NCBI's taxonomy places the organism in Eukaryota, Metazoa, Arthropoda, Insecta, Diptera, Drosophilidae. The record is from RefSeq and is a predicted model, not a curated record.
AUUUCGUAUUGUGCCAAAUCCCCUAUUUGGCUCCAGAAUACUGGGAUACUAAUGAAAUAUAUACAGAAAAGUGUAAUAUAUUUAGCUUUGCCGUUAUUUUUUUGGAAGUAAAGCUUAGGAAAAGUCUCAAUUAUGGUGAUCUUUUAGAUUUGAUUAACAUGGAAACAAACGAGUCAGAUCGUAUAAUGCAAAUAAUAAAAAAGUGCUUAAAUCGAAAUCCACAAAAUAGACCUACUAUGAAACGAAUUGUGGCUUUUCUCGGAUGUGAUUAUAGGCUUUGCAUUAAUGUGGACCAUGCUGAUUUGGAAUUCAAGGAUUUGGUAUUUGUAAGCAACUACAGAUCUAACAAUCAAAAUAAUAUUUCAUAUUUACAGACUGACUGUACCUGUGAUACGGUUUGUUCAGCAUUGUGGAGACGUUCUGAAUAUAAUAGUUUAGUAAAACAUAAUUUUAUAAGUGAUUUUUUAACGACGAAGGUGGCACUAAAAGAAAUUGACUGCAAUACGAAAAUGAAAUGGGAAAUUCUGAGAGAAGUCCCCAAGCUUUUAGGUCUAGCUCAUGAGAAUAUUGCCACAUUAUACGGAGUUUCUUUAAAAUAUCAAAUUUACAUGGUUGUCGAGUAUGCAGAAUGUAGAACACUCUACCAUUUGCUUCAGAAUAUCAAUAUGAAUGUCUCAUUCCGGGAGAAGCUGGAUUGGAUGCAGCAAUGUGCGAAGGUAUGUUUAAAACACUUUGGAUAUUUUUGAUCUCACAUUUUUUUAAGGGCUUGGAAUAUUUGCAUGGAAAAAACAUAAUCCAUCGUGGCCUUACAACUCGAAGCUUGUUACUUUUCGAUAAUUAUCGUAUAUUAAAAGUGGGUGAUUUCGGAAAAGUGAAUGAAGUUGAAAAAAUUAGAACUGAUUUCAUGUGUUGCUAUUUGGCUCCAGAAGUUUGCAUGGGAAAAAAAAACUUUACAGAAAAGACGGAUGUUUUUAGCUUCGGUAUAAUUUUUUGGGAAGUGAUCAAACAAAAGAAACCACAUUGG